AAUCCUUUUUACUUCCAAUUAUGCAAAAUGAAAAAUAAAUAUGCAUAUUUAUUCAUAAUAUAUCUGAAUUUACCAAUAAAAAAAUGAAUAUGAAAUGGUGGUGGAGAUGUCCAUUUUUGUAAUGCCUAGCUUCCUUGAAAGUGUCAUUAACAAAGUUUUUGAGAUCUCCACCUAAGAUUCAGUGCUAUCAAAGUGGAUAGAUACCUGGUAAUUUCUCAUGAUAGAUGAGCAUGAAUUCUGACAAGGCCAAUUCGUUACUGUUAAACAAUUCACCAUUGGUAAAGUGGUUAGUCUCUAAAAAGCAUCUGACAACCUAAAUCUUCAAUGCCUUUAUUCACAAAAUCUUCUUUUAAUGGCAUCUCUCAUCUUGAUGUUGAGGCAAAGAAGACAACAUCGGGAGUUGAUUGAUUUGUUCCCCUCUGAGAACAAGAAUUAGAUCAUAAGUUUUAUCACAGCUAUAGAAGGGUAUUCAAAUUACUGGUAGAAAAUUAGAUUACUUCCCAAUUCAAUCCUGUUAUUGGAAUUUCAAAUUCCUGCAUAUGUUUCAAACUCAUCAUGUUUAUUUUAUGAUUCUCAAUGGCUCAUCUAGGCUGUAUUUAUGAUGUGUGCAGUUAUUGCUAUUGAUCCUUGUCAGAGGUAUAAAUCCAUACUGUUUUUGUGGUUUCCAUUAUCAGUUAAUCAUGGUUAGUUUCUUAUUAUCUGCAGCCUUUUUGUUUGUUUGUUUUGUCUUUUUCAGGGAAUUGGUCAAUGCAGUACUUCAUAAUCUAUCCAGGCAGCUUAAGUACGCAUCUAUGCUGAAGGUUGCUUGUCACUGUUGGCUGUUCUGGUCAAAAAUCACUUUGUGCCAAUCUUUGCUAUCUGUAUGGCAUUGAAUUGCAGUAAGGAAUCUGGGUGGGAAAAGGCAGCAAUUGUUCUUCAGGGUUCAAUUUUGCGUCUUGCUGAGAUAUCUAGGAGUGAACAAGACAAACUCAUAAAGAAACAUAUGGUUUGCUCCUGCUUUUCUUCUCUCUCUCUCUCUCUCUCUCUCUCUCUCUCUCUCUCUCUAAAUGAUUCAGGAAGUUUAAGAUCUAUGACAAGCAUAAAAAUAUUAGUGUAAUUUAAAAGAUAUCACAUAAUCUCAUGGCUCUUCAAACUGUCUAAUCAUUUUCUUUUUUUGGAUAGGUAAUGGUAAAUUUUAUUUAAAAAUUUAAGUCACCAAUACGUCAGAUUUUGGUUUGAUGAGUAUGCUGGGUUUCUUCCUCCUAAAAACCAAAGAUCUCUCAAAAAUGUAAAGAGGAUAUGAAAUCUACAAAACCAGUUGGUCACCCUGUAUCAAGUAAAAGCCAAGAAAACAAUGAGCUUACCAACGUCAACUUAAUUCUCAUAGUUGAAAAUUGCUGCUCCCUAAAAAUCCUUUGAGUACUCUCCCUCCGCAAAGUCCACAUCAAACAUGGAUGUACUAAAUCCCAGGCUCUGUGUUGGAAGGAGUUUGGCUUCCUUCUCCAAUCUUGAAUCAACAAAAGCACAGUCUUGGGCAUCACCCACCAAACUCUGAACAUCCCAAGGAUGAACUCACACAACUCCCUUGCAAAAGAAUAGUGAAGUAGGAAAUG
Quercus robur (English oak) is the source of this 1592-nucleotide RNA transcript. It is a transcript of the gene named serine/threonine-protein kinase ATM-like, with no coding region annotated. The record is from RefSeq and is a predicted model, not a curated record. Lineage: Eukaryota; Viridiplantae; Streptophyta; Magnoliopsida; Fagales; Fagaceae. The transcript has 2 exons.